GAUGAACGCUGGCGGCGUGCUUAACACAUGCAAGUCGAACGAAGCAUACCAGUAGAAGCCUUCGGGUAGAAGCAGGUAUGACUGAGUGGCGGACGGGUGAGUAACGCGUGGGUAACCUGCCUCAUACAGGGGGAUAACAGUUGGAAACAGCUGCUAAAACCGCAUAAGCGCACAGUAUCGCAUGGUACAGUGUGAAAAGCUCCGGUGGUAUGAGAUGGACCCGCGUCUGAUUAGCUAGUUGGUGAGGUAACGGCUCACCAAGGCGACGAUCAGUAGCCGGCCUGAGAGGGUGAACGGCCACAUUGGGACUGAGACACGGCCCAAACUCCUACGGGAGGCAGCAGUGGGGAAUAUUGCACAAUGGGGGAAACCCUGAUGCAGCGACGCCGCGUGAGUGAAGAAGUAUUUCGGUAUGUAAAGCUCUAUCAGCAGGGAAGAAAAUGACGGUACCUGACUAAGAAGCCCCGGCUAACUACGUGCCAGCCGCCGCGGUAAAAC
This 498-nucleotide ribosomal RNA is filed under the name uncultured bacterium. Its description in RNAcentral is "bacterial SSU rRNA". It matches the Rfam family "Bacterial small subunit ribosomal RNA", at positions 28 to 526 of the family's 1533-position model. The record is from RNAcentral.